AUGAACGCUAGCGACAGGCCUAACACAUGCAAGUCGAGGGGCAGCACAAGGAGCAAUCUGAGGUGGCGACCGGCGCACGGGUGAGUAACACGUAUGCAACCUGCCUGUAAGCGGGGAAUAACCCGUUGAAGGACGGACUAAUACCGCAUAAUACUAAAUUACUGCAUGGUAAUUUAUUUAAACAUUUAUGGCUUACAGAUGGGCAUGCGCAUGAUUAGCUAGUUGGAGAGGUAACGGCUCCCCAAGGCAACGAUCAUUAGGGGUUCUGAGAGGAAGGUCCCCCACACUGGUACUGAGACACGGACCAGACUCCUACGGGAGGCAGCAGUGAGGAAUAUUGGUCAAUGGACGAGAGUCUGAACCAGCCAAGUCGCGUGCAGGAAGAAUGUCCCUAUGGAUUGUAAACUGCUUUUGCAGGGGAAUAAAGUGCAUCACGUGUGAUGUUUUGUAUGUACUCUGCGAAUAAGGAUCGGCUAACUCCGUGCCAGCCGCCGC
RNAcentral lists this ribosomal RNA (495 nucleotides) under uncultured bacterium. RNAcentral describes it as "bacterial SSU rRNA". It matches the Rfam family "Bacterial small subunit ribosomal RNA", at positions 29 to 518 of the family's 1533-position model. The record is from RNAcentral.